Molecule: ribosomal RNA, 438 nt
Filed under: uncultured bacterium
Lineage: Bacteria
Description: partial 16S ribosomal RNA
Rfam family: Bacterial small subunit ribosomal RNA
Source: RNAcentral
CUACGGGACGCUGCAGUGAGGAAUAUUGCACAAUGGGGGGAACCCUGAUGCAGCAACGCCGCGUGGAGGAUGACGCAUUUCGGUGUGUAAACUCCUUUUAUAUGUCAAGAAAAUGACGGUAGCAUAUGAAUAAGCGCCGGCUAACUCCGUGCCAGCAGCCGCGGUAAUACGGAGGGCGCAAGCGUUACUCGGAAUCAUGGGCGUAAAGGACGCGUAGGCGGGUUGAAAAGUCAGGUGUGAAAGCCUACAGCUUAACUGUAGAACUGCACUUGAAACUCUCAAUCUAGAGUAUGGGGGAGGCAGAUGGAAUUAGUGGUGUAGGGGUAAAAUCCGUAGAUAUCACUAGGAAUACCUAAAGCGAAGGCGAUCUGCUGGAACAUUACUGACGCUAAGGCGUGAAAGCGUGGGGAGCAAACAGGAUUAGAUACCAGUGUAGUC